Long non-coding RNA from Salvia splendens (bonfire salvia), 2417 nucleotides. RefSeq lists it as uncharacterized. The record is from RefSeq and is a predicted model, not a curated record. Lineage: Eukaryota; Viridiplantae; Streptophyta; Magnoliopsida; Lamiales; Lamiaceae. The transcript has 3 exons.
AUCCAAUUAUUUGGUUCAAUUAUAUACAUACAAAUUAAUAAUAUAAGCAACUCACACAACUCUGUUAUUAAACUCUCUACUUACUGAUCUGCAGGUACCUAUUUGGCUAUUUCAACUAUCAAUAAUGUAGUAGUGAAGUACUAAAAUGAAAGAUACAAAGAAAGGUAACGAAACCCUCUAUUCACUAUAAAGACUGAUUAACUAACAGAUAGAUGAUAGCAACAGAUGAUGAAGUAGAUUUGUGAACAAUGUAUAUUACAGCAGCCCAUAACUAUAGAUUCCACAUAUGUGCAGUUAUAAUGCAACAAAAUGGGAGAUAUCAUUGACAGAAAAGGGAGGCCAAGAACAUCUUUUACCAAAAUGGUAACAAUGUAUAUUACAGCAAUCAAAACAAUUCCAUUCAAAACACUUAGUCUACUGAUUUUAUACAUCACCUUCCUCAUUAUAAAUUCCACAUAUGCGCAAUAUGACAAAGAUGAGCAAAUGGAAAACAGGGCAUCUAACGAAAAGAUCAAAGGUUACAGGUACUAAAAUACUCCAGAUCUUUCAGUUAAGCAAACAUUAUUUUGAAUAUUGAUGUUUACACCUUUCAGUUGCAUAAACCUGAAUCUGAAUUCUAUUAAAGAUAAAAGAUGUUGAGAAUGAAGAUCAAAGGAAAUGAGGCAAAGACCAAAAAAUAAGGCAAAGAACAUAAGAUGGCAUAUCAUCAAAGGUCAGAUAUACUAAACUAAACUACUGAAACAUCAUUAUCGUAUAUGAAUAUUGAAGAAGUAAAGUAGAGGACAGUAGAGUUGCAAUAUAACAAUAAAUUAAUAACUACAGAUACAUCAUAUAUGAUUAGACAAAACAGUUGAUGAGUAUGAGAUAUACACAAAGGAAGUAACAUAUACCAAGUAAAAAAGGGAUUUCUUGGUUCUUUUAGGAAGAUGUUGCAGGGUGAGUAAAAGAGAAGCACGCUUGGGUAUUUAUAGAUGUUUGGUGAUGUAUAUUUGCAAACACAGCAGAAUAAAAAAAAUAAACAUUGGAAAACAUACAUAAUCAUAGGUGAGACCUUUCAAAUAACACAAAUAAAUUAUAAUAACAGAAAAUCAGGUAUUUAGAACUAACUUUCGAUUAAAAAAUAGAUGCAGCAACCCUAGACUAAGUUAGUUAAUAGAACAAUUUAAUAUAUACACACUCAGAUUAGAUUUUUGUGCAUGCUCUAUUAAUUAUAGGACGCAUUAAUUGGGUCACAUGUCAGUCGCAUUAAUGACAAUUAGUGGUUGUUGCCAUAUUAAUAUUAACCCUAUUUUGCAGGAAUACCAACAAAACAAAGAACUCCUACUGCCAGAAGAGCCGCAUCUAACCUUGAAAAAGGAAGAGAGAGAGAGAAAGAAUGCUGCAACCAAUAAAAUAGGUUAUAGUACCAAAUAAUUACAUUGAAGCUUGAACACUAUAUCAUUACACACAAAACUGUGCAAAACAGAAGAGGAAGAAAAAGCAAAAAAUAGGAUAUUUGAAUCUUAAUCUUAAUGGAAAAAUAUGAACAACCAAAAACAGGUACUAUUCUUAUUUAUUAAAUUUGCAAACUUGGAUAUUGAAAUAAGUACACUCCAACAAUAUGAAUUCAAUGUCUAAGUUUUUCAAUCAUAUGACUAUAAUGCACUCCAGAUCUAUUAAAAAUAACAUUAAAUGAUACAUUUUGCUUAUGCGGCUGAAAUUCUUAAACAUUAAAUGAUACAUUUAGAUUAUGCAGCUUUGAAAUUAUUAAAUUAGCAUUGAGAUAUUGAAUUCUUAAUUUCUAUAUAUUUAUUAUAUUUUGUACUCAUUAUUUUGUACUAAUAUAUCUUUUAUACUUGUUCAGGUAAUUGAAGCAUUGGAAUUUGCAGAAUAUAUGUAACUCAAUCACAUUCAUUUCUCGAUAUAUUUGAUAGAUUGUACAAAAUAGGUUUAAGGUUUAAUAGUUCAAACAUACUGAACUGCACAAAACAAUCAAUAAAGCAACCAAAAAACAAAUAACAAAAGCAGCACAACAAUAUUGGAACGAUAAAUGACAAACAAUUUUCAUAAAAAACGGCAAAAAAAAACAAAUUGAACCUCAUUUUCCCGCCAAAAUGCUGCCAGGUGGCAGACACAAAAACUGUCCCUUUAGAUAUUGAUAGAUUCUAUUAACAUGCAUUACCAAAAAUAGAAUUUUUCCUACAUUUCAACCCCUACUCUCUUCUUCAAUAACAACCAACAUCACAACACCGAGCAUCUCAAACAUAUCAAAAACUAUACAAUAGAAUGGAUUUCACCAAUAAAAUCCAUUACAAUUAACAAAACAACAAAACAUCGGCCAAAAUUGAACAAUUUGUCAUAAACCAUAAUUCACAAAAUUAGAAGAAACCUACAUAAUAUAAACAAUAAACACCGAAUAAGGGAUAAAUGUUGAAAGA